CUAAAGAUGGUCUUUAAAAUACACACGUUCUCGAUCAAAACUAGGAAAUGCAUUGGGGCAAAUCUUGUAAAAGCUUAAAAAACCAUGAAAAAGAAAGAGAAAUAUCGAUAGACGGAAUAAGGAAAUAAAAAAUGUUACCGUUAGCCCACAUAAAACCCCGUCAGAAACCUACAUAUACCUAAACCCUUCAUUCUUCUUCAACACCAAGCUACCCCAAGAAAAAUCUCUUCAACUUCAACCCACGAAAAUUAGGGUUUUCAUAUUUGAAAGGCAAAGUUGCUAGAAUGGAGGAAAAUAUGCAGUUCAUCCGUUGCUUUAGUGGAGGGAAAUGCACAUUUGUUUACUGAAAGUCAGUUCUUCUCAAUUGCUGAUUUUAUGAUGUGUGCAGGGGAGGGGAAACAUUGAGCUUCAUAAUCAGUUGUCAAAGCGACCUGCUGAUCUUCUUCAAAUCAUAAAUUAGUUUUGAAGAUGUGUGCAGGGGAGGGGAAACAUUGAGCUUCAUAAUCAAUGAAAGAAUGGCUUCUGAUUAUCAUCAUUUGUAAAUUAGUUGCUAUAGUUGAGGAAAAUACACAUAUGUGUACUGAAAGUUAGUUCCUGUCAACCGAUGCUUUGGUGGAGAUGAAUGUGUUAAGACAGACACAGACUGACCCAAUUUUGAAGGAAAACCAGACAUCAAUGAUAUGCCAAUGGAAGAAAAUAAGGUAACAUAUGUUUUUAAGUUCUUGUAUAAUUAAAAAGGGCUAAAUGCAAGAAACAACAACAUUUUUUUCUUAGAUAUGCUUAUUAAAUCAAUUUAUGAGGUUGUAAACAAUUGGUUAUACUUUGAGUGACUUUUAAAGACAAUUGCAAGUUUGGUCCCUAUAGUAUGUCAAAAAUUGGAUGUUUGGCCAAAAAUGUUUUGGAGUUGCACAAGUGGUCCAAAAUUUUCAGAACUUUUUUUUACAGAUUUGCCCUUGGUAUUUUCCUUUUUUUAAUUAGGGUGGUGGUGGUAGCAUUUACCAGUUAUGGUAUGUGUGAGAGAGAGAGAGGGGGGGGGGAGGGUGGAUUAGGGGCAGAGGUAGUAUUUUUUUUGUUUUUUAUAAUUGUUGUAAUAAAAAAAGAAAAUUAAAAAACAAAACUAAAGGGCAAACUCGUCAUUUUAAAAAAAGUCAAAACAAAUUGGACCAAACUCGUAAUAAAAUGGAAGUUUUGGACCAUUGGUGCAACUCCAAAAUAUUUUGGACCAAAUAUCCAAUUUUUGACAUACCACAGGGACCAAACUUGCAAUUUUGUCACUUUUAAACCAUACAACUGUUUUUUUACAUCUAAAUUCCUCAGUUUUAUUUAUGAAUAAAAUAUAACCAAUUUUAAUUGUAGCAUUUUCAUGAAAUGGUAGAAGUUUCCACUUGUAGACUUCAUCAACAUGGAUGUUUGCAGUUAUAUCAAGCUCUAAUUGCAAGAAAUAAAAACAUACUUUCAUUUACUUGUUUUUUUAUUGCAUCAUAUGUUCAUGUCUUUCUAUUGUGAAUCUCUUUGCUUAUUAAGACAUUGCAAUUUAAAAAAUUAUAUCCAGUUAUAGCGUUGUACUUGAAAUAUUUUUUAAUUGGGAGGCAAACACUGUUUUCCUUGAGCAACAUAAAGGUAACUAACAUUUGUUACAAAAAAAAUCCUGCUCACACCUGUUUCUUUCAAGUCAUUUAUUUGGUGAUUUUGUAGAUUCGUUGUAGCUGAAAUGAUAUAUUGUUUAGAACCAAACAAAAAGGCAGAAGCCAUCACUUUGAUCCAAGAAUCACUCAGUAACUCCCCCAUUUCAAGUAUCGGAUCACUUGGUGGAUCUGUGAAAGAAUGGAAGCUCAAAGACUGUGUUGCAGUUCACAAGAUUUUGGUCUCUACUUUUGAUGAUCGGGAUGCUGCUCUGAGAUGGAAAAAGCGAUGUGGAGAAGAAUUUCCAUACUCAACCUACUUUGAAGGGAGCCUGUGCUAUAAGAAAUAGAAAUUACACAUACACCCUUUAAGAAGUGGAAAUCAUAAACGCACCCUUUGCACCUCCGCUCCCUUAAUUUUCUUUUGUGAGUAGGGUUGCAGAAGAUAAACGCCACCUGUCACCCCUUUCACCCCAUCUCUUUCACAUCACACGUCGCCUUAUAAACCCUCAAAAACUAUCAAAUCUCUCUCUACUCUCAUUCUCUAUACAUACUUUCUCUCUCUACAAAUCGUCUAAUCUGCAACACAAACAAUGGGCGCUUCGCUUCCUCCUAAAAGCUCUACAAUCUUAAUGAGUUUAAUGACUUUGCCAAUUCGUAAUAUCUUCCUCCCCACUCUUUAAAACCCUAGUUAUCUUUAUGUGCAUGAAAGGUAUUGUAUUGUUGACUGGUUAGUCUUGUAUUGUGAAGAUUUUGGAUCGUAAAUUGUAAAUUCUUAAGUAUGUGUCUCGUAAACGUACGAUUUUCUGUAAUCUUGAUUAGGUUUGGGUUCAGGAGAAUGGCUGGAUGUUGGUUUCAUUGAUUACUAAUGUGUUUUGGUUUAUCACAUUGAAUGAAUUGUGGAAAUUUUGUUA
Molecule: non-coding RNA, 2536 nt
Organism: Lactuca sativa (garden lettuce)
Lineage: Eukaryota; Viridiplantae; Streptophyta; Magnoliopsida; Asterales; Asteraceae
Source: RefSeq, a predicted model, not a curated record